CCUACGGGUGGCAGCAGUGGGGAAUAUUGGACAAUGGGCGAAAGCCUGAUCCAGCCAUGCCGCGUGUGUGAAGAAGGCCUUCGGGUUGUAAAGCACUUUCAGUGGGGAAGAAAGCCUUAGGGCUAAUACCCUCGAGGAAGGACAUCACCCACAGAAGAAGCACCGGCUAACUCCGUGCCAGCAGCCGCGGUAAUACGGAGGGUGCGAGCGUUAAUCGGAAUUACUGGGCGUAAAGCGCGCGUAGGCGGUCUGAUAAGCCGGUUGUGAAAGCCCCGGGCUCAACCUGGGAACGGCAUCCGGAACUGUCAGGCUAGAGUGCAGGAGAGGAAGGUAGAAUUCCCGGUGUAGCGGUGAAAUGCGUAGAGAUCGGGAGGAAUACCAGUGGCGAAGGCGGCCUUCUGGACUGACACUGACGCUGAGGUGCGAAAGCGUGGGUAGCAAACAGGAUUAGAUACCCUGGUAGUC
Molecule: ribosomal RNA, 465 nt
Filed under: Vreelandella stevensii
Lineage: Bacteria; Pseudomonadati; Pseudomonadota; Gammaproteobacteria; Oceanospirillales; Halomonadaceae
Description: partial 16S ribosomal RNA
Rfam family: Bacterial small subunit ribosomal RNA
Source: RNAcentral